GUUUAAUUUACCAUAUGCGGGAAGGCUGGUUAAACCGUUUGGUUUACGACCACUACGACCCGGGUUCGAUCCCCGCAUUGGACA
Molecule: non-coding RNA, 84 nt
Organism: Cordylochernes scorpioides
Lineage: Eukaryota; Metazoa; Arthropoda; Arachnida; Pseudoscorpiones; Chernetidae
Source: the annotation of a GenBank genome assembly